This 557-nucleotide long non-coding RNA is filed under the name Mytilus galloprovincialis (Mediterranean mussel). Lineage: Eukaryota; Metazoa; Mollusca; Bivalvia; Mytilida; Mytilidae. The record is from RNAcentral.
UCGGUUACAACGUAACAACACUUAGUCAGCACCUCAUUAGGAACAUUCCUGUCAUGUUUGGUUUCAUUCUAUUCAGUGGUUCUCUAGAAGAAGUUCAAAAUAAAAAAAAAAUAACGACGACGACGCACAACGACGGACGCCAUGGGAUAAGAAAACCCUUCGGGUCAAGUGAGCUAAAAAAAAAAGGGGGGGUAUGUUUUUUGGUUUGAUUUUUUUUCGCCAAACGCGAACCUUUGAUUUUUUUUUUUUUUAACUUUUUCAGCGCUAUCACUAAAUUAAUUUUUUUUAAUAUUGAACACUAUAAGGUAUGACGUAAAUCUGGAUUCAAUAUAUAUUUUUUUGAUCAUCUGCUUGGCCUGAUUAUUUUUUUUUAGCAUAUUGGGGAGAAGAUUAUUUUUCUAGAAAAAAAGCAUAAAGUCACCUUCGACUUCGUCGGAAGGGGACUUUAACCCCCCCCCUUUUUUUUUGAAGUUCAAUGGUUGUUCCCUUAUUAAUUAAAAUAAUAAUCGAAAAUAAAUGCUAAAUCUUUCCUAUGAAUCAAAUACUGAACUAAUUUG